Molecule: long non-coding RNA, 254 nt
Filed under: Gossypium barbadense (sea-island cotton)
Lineage: Eukaryota; Viridiplantae; Streptophyta; Magnoliopsida; Malvales; Malvaceae
Description: long non-coding RNA (GBAR_LNC014183)
Source: RNAcentral
AUUCAGUCAUUCAUGCACAUUAAAUCUUUAUUCUUUUAUUAUCAUUUUAUUUUGUUAGCACAAACAUGCACAUCUUAUAACACACACACAAUUACAUGGACACAAAAACAACACUCAAGCAACUAAUUACGUGAAAUGGUAACUCUACCAUCGAUUGAUACGAUUAAAAUUGUGAAAGAUGACUACACAUAGACCUAUCAGCAUACAAGACACAAUCGAACAUUUUACUUAACUCAACAAUGAAGAGGGGAAGG